UCUUGCGCAAUGGGCGAAAGCCUGACGCAGCGACGCCGCGUGGGGGAUGAAGGCCUUCGGGUUGUAAACCCCUUUCAGGAGGGAAGAUGGGACGGGCAACCGUUCGGACGGUACCUUCAGAAGCAGCCACGGCUAACUCUGUGCCAGCAGCCGCGGUAAGACAGAGGUGGCAAGCGUUGUUCCGAUUUACUGGGCGUAAAGGGUGCGUAGGUGGUUAGGUAAGACCUGCGGGAAAGACCUGGGCUUAACCCAGGAAGGUCGUAGGUGACUGCCUGGCUAGAGGGCGGGAGAGGAGAGCGGAAUUCCCGGUGUAGCGGUGAAAUGCGUAGAGAUCGGGAGGAAGGCCGGUGGCGAAGGCGGCUCUCUGGAACGUCAUGACACUGAGCACGGAG
RNAcentral lists this ribosomal RNA (392 nucleotides) under uncultured bacterium. Its description in RNAcentral is "bacterial SSU rRNA". It matches the Rfam family "Bacterial small subunit ribosomal RNA", at positions 362 to 758 of the family's 1533-position model. The record is from RNAcentral.